UUCCAAAUGUUCCCAAAGGAUAAAUAGUUC
Molecule: non-coding RNA, 30 nt
Filed under: Rattus norvegicus (Norway rat)
Lineage: Eukaryota; Metazoa; Chordata; Mammalia; Rodentia; Muridae
Source: RNAcentral